UAUCGUUAGUUGCCAACACGUAAUGGUGGGAACUCUAGCGAGACUGCCGGUGAUAACCGGGAGGAAGGUGAGGAUGACGUCAAGUCNGCAUGGCCCUUAUGUCUGGGGCUACACACGUGCUACAAUGGUCGGUACAGAAGGCAGCGAAACCGUGAGGUGGAGNAAAUCCCACAAAGCCGGCCCCAGUUCAGAUUGUAGUCUGCAACUCGACUACAUGAAGAUGGAAUUGCUAGUAAUGGCGAGUCAGCUACAUCGCCGUGAAUACGUUC
RNAcentral lists this ribosomal RNA (269 nucleotides) under uncultured Alphaproteobacteria bacterium. Its description in RNAcentral is "partial 16S small subunit ribosomal RNA". It matches the Rfam family "Bacterial small subunit ribosomal RNA", at positions 1106 to 1373 of the family's 1533-position model. Lineage: Bacteria; Pseudomonadati; Pseudomonadota; Alphaproteobacteria. The record is from RNAcentral.